GAAGAAGGGCGCACGGUGAAUGCCUUGGCACUGGAAGCCGAUGAAGGACGCGACUAACCGCGAAAGUCUUCGGGGAGCCGUAAGUAGGCUUUGAUCCGGAGGUCUCCGAAUGGGGGAACCCAGCAUGUGCAGACAUGCUAUCCUUAAGUGAAUACAUAGCUUAAGGAGGGAACACGCAGUGAACUGAAACAUCUAAGUAGCUGCAGGAAGAGAAAGAAAUAUCGAUUUCCCAAGUAGCGGCGAGCGAACAGGAAAGAGCCCAAACCGGCAGAUUUAUCUGCCGGGGUUGUAGGACUGAGACAUGGCACUUCAGAGGAUAGCAGAAGCGUUUGGGAAAGCGCGCCAGAGAGGGUGAGAGCCCCGUAAGCGAAAUCCAAAGAAGGCCUAUCAGUAUCCUGAGUAGGGCGGGACACGUGAAAUCCCGUUUGAAUCCGCGAGGACCAUCUCGCAAGGCUAAAUACUAACCAGUGACCGAUAGUGAACCAGUACCGUGAGGGAAAGGUGAAAAGAACCCCGGGAGGGGAGUGAAAGAGAACCUGAAACCGUGUGCCUACAAGUAGUCAGAGCCCGUUAACGGGUAAUGGCGUGCCUUUUGUAGAAUGAACCGGCGAGUUGCGUUAGUCAGCAAGGUUAAGUCAGAAAAGACGGAGCCGUAGCGAAAGCGAGUCUGAAGAGGGCGAGCAGUUGGCUGACGCAGACCCGAAACCAAGUGACCUACCCAUGACCAGGUUGAAGGCGCGGUAAAACGCGCUGGAGGACCGAACCCACGUAAGUUGAAAAUUGCGGGGAUGAGUUGUGGGUAGCGGUGAAAUUCCAAACGAACUUGGAGAUAGCUGGUUCUCUCCGAAAUAGCUUUAGGGCUAGCCUCGCAAAGAGGAUGCUGGAGGUAGAGCUCUGUUUGGACUAGGGGCCCGUCAAGGGUUACUGAAUUCAGAUAAACUGCGAAUUCCAGACAUUUAUGUGCGGGAGUCAGACUGCGAGUGAUAAGAUCCGUAGUCGAAAGGGAAACAGCCCAGAUCACCAGUUAAGGUCCCAAAAUUCAUGCUAAGUGGAAAAGGAUGUGGAGUUGCGCAGACAACUAGGACGUUGGCUCAGAAGCAGCCAUCAUUCAAAGAGUGCGUAAUAGCUCACUAGUCGAGUGACGCCGCGCCGAAAAUUUACCGGGGCUAAGCAUGAUACCGAAACUGUGGAUGUGCGUUUAUGCACGUGGUAGGAGAGCGUUCUAGCGGCGGUGAAGCAUGACCGAGAGGACAUGUGGAGCUUCUAGAAGUGAGAAUGCCGGUAUGAGUAACGAAAGACAGGUGAGAAUCCUGUCCGCCGCAAGACUAAGGUUUCCUGGGGCAGGCUCGUCCGCCCAGGGUAAGUCGGGACCUAAGGCGAGGCCGAGAGGCGUAGUCGAUGGACAACAGGUUGAAAUUCCUGUACUGCACCGAAUCGUUAUGAGCGAUGGAGGGACGCAGGAGGCUAGCAGCGCGUGGUGCUGGAUACCACGUUCAAGCGUCAAGUCUGAGAGCGAGUCAAAUGCUUGCUCUCAUAAGGACAAGGCGUGAUGAGGAGCGAAAUUAAAGUAGCGAAGG
This 1577-nucleotide ribosomal RNA is filed under the name Lactobacillus delbrueckii subsp. bulgaricus. RNAcentral's name for it is "partial 23S ribosomal RNA". It matches the Rfam family "Bacterial large subunit ribosomal RNA", at positions 1 to 1591 of the family's 2925-position model. Lineage: Bacteria; Bacillati; Bacillota; Bacilli; Lactobacillales; Lactobacillaceae. The record is from RNAcentral.